CAUUAGGGGUUCAGCGCGCCCCUCCAGGCCACGCAGUCAGGCCUCCGUCCUUUUAGCUGUAGGGGCAGAUUACGUAACUCCAGCCUUCUGGUCACUAAAGGAGGGUAACAAAGGGCGGUCGAGAGACUCCACUGAGUUGACACGCAGACGCAGCCUCAGGACCCUAAACUCUACGCCCCAACAUACCCUACCAAGUGAGCGCCAGCGGCCGCGUGACGUCAUCUACCCCAAAAGCUGUGGCCCCGGCCACGCACGGCUUCGGGGCGGGACUACGCGGUGACGUCGAGGUGCGCGGCGCAGCGCGCGGCGUCAGUCUUGGCUGGCAGACUUUGUACUCUGUAUUCCGUACGCGGAACUCGCAGCGGCGCGAUCUUCGGCAGCCUAGUCAUCCACCGCCAUCCUGGGCCCCACGUGUUGCCUGACCAUUCCUGAGCCCAGGUGGGAGCCGUGGCUGAGGUGACGGUCUCAAAGUGGAAGAGCUUACUGUCACAGCAACUCUUUUGCAAGAUGCCCCGGUAAAUCACGUUGCAGAGACCCCAACUCUGCCUUCCUGGAACUAGGCCUGCGUUUUCUCUGAACCAUUAUUUCAUGGGGAAAAUGAAAUCUACUUCAUGUGCCUGGCCUACUUACUCCUUCAGAAAUGAUUUCUGAGCCGUAAGAUACAUGAGAAAAAAAUGAAGGGGAAAAGGCAAUAUUUAUAUUAACUACACGAUGAUAAGGAUGUUUCUGGUCACAGUGAAAAGCCAUGCUAGAAUUGUAGUGUCAUAGAAUAAUGUGGAAGUUUAGUUCGUGUUGUCUGAUCUAUUUAAUAAUUUAAUAAGGUUAUCUCCUCCAAGACACCUUCCCUUCUUCCUCAGCCAGACAGGAUCUUCCCCUGAGAGUCAUCAGUAGCUCUGGGCUCCUGGAACCAAGCUCAGGUGCCUAAUUGAACUCUGGUCUCUUCCCACAGCCUCCAGCAGGGACUGGUGCUUAGUGAGAGUGGACUGCCAGAUUCCUUGAGUGUGGGGGAUUUGGGUGAAUGAGGGUAGCAAGCCUCCAGCGUGCUUGGGUCUGCGGUGACCCUAUGCAUUCCUU
RNAcentral lists this long non-coding RNA (1074 nucleotides) under Pongo abelii (Sumatran orangutan). RNAcentral's name for it is "lincRNA". Lineage: Eukaryota; Metazoa; Chordata; Mammalia; Primates; Hominidae. The record is from RNAcentral.